This 393-nucleotide ribosomal RNA is filed under the name uncultured bacterium. RNAcentral's name for it is "bacterial SSU rRNA". It matches the Rfam family "Bacterial small subunit ribosomal RNA", at positions 359 to 772 of the family's 1533-position model. The record is from RNAcentral.
UAANGCACAAUGGGCGAAAGCCUGAUGCAGCNACGCCGCGUGAGUGAAGAAGUAUCUCGGUAUGUAAAGCUCUAUCAGCAGGGAAGAAAAUGACGGUACCUGACUAAGAAGCCACGGCUAACUACGUGCCAGCAGCCGCGGUAAUACGUAGGGGGCAAGCGUUAUCCGGAUUUACUGGGUGUAAAGGGAUCGUAGACGGCGACGCAAGUCUGGAGUGAAAGCCCGGGGCCCAACCCCGGGAAUGCUUUGGAAACUGUGCUGCUGGAGUGCAGGAGAGGUAAGUGGAAUUCCUAGUGUGGCGGUGAAAUGCGUAGAUAUUAGGAGGAACACCAGUGGCGAAGGCGGCUUACUGAACUGUAACUGACGUUGAGGCUCGAAAGCGUGGGGAGCAAA